GGGCUGGCUUUAGCCCAGUGGUUCCUUCGUGUCCUACUUCCCAACCGCCCGGGCCUAUUGGUCCGGUGGUUUGAGACUCGUGGGCAUUCUCCAGUCUUUUU
Molecule: vault RNA, 101 nt
Filed under: Cavia aperea (Brazilian guinea pig)
Lineage: Eukaryota; Metazoa; Chordata; Mammalia; Rodentia; Caviidae
Description: Vault RNA (ENSCAPG00000002979.1)
Rfam family: Vault RNA
About the family: This family of RNAs are found as part of the enigmatic vault ribonucleoprotein complex. The complex consists of a major vault protein (MVP), two minor vault proteins (VPARP and TEP1), and several small untranslated RNA molecules.
Source: RNAcentral